RNAcentral lists this unclassified non-coding RNA (336 nucleotides) under soil metagenome. Its description in RNAcentral is "partial contains 5.8S ribosomal RNA, internal transcribed spacer 2, and large subunit ribosomal RNA". The stretch from base 1 to 120 matches the Rfam family "5.8S ribosomal RNA", at positions 35 to 154 of the family's 154-position model. The record is from RNAcentral.
GAUGAAGAACGUAGCGAAAUGCGAUAAGUAAUGUGAAUUGCAGAAUUCAGUGAAUCAUCGAAUCUUUGAACGCACAUUGCGCCCGCCAGUAUUCUGGCGGGCAUGCCUGUUCGAGCGUCAUUUCAACCAUCAAGCCCCCGGGCUUGUGUUGGGGACCUGCGGCUGCCCGCAGGCCCUGAAAACCAGUGGCGGGCUCGCUGUCACACCGAGCGUAGUAGCAUCAUCUCACUCAGGGCGUGCUGCGGGUUCCGGCCGUUAAAAAGCCUCUAAUACCCAAGGUUGACCUCGGAUCAGGUAGGAAGACCCGCUGAACUUAAGCAUAUCAAUAACGGAGGA